Molecule: long non-coding RNA, 209 nt
Filed under: Stegodyphus dumicola
Lineage: Eukaryota; Metazoa; Arthropoda; Arachnida; Araneae; Eresidae
Description: uncharacterized LOC118200052
Source: RNAcentral
AACUGCAUCUGUGUCAAAGGAGAAUCAUUGCCCGGAUGAUUUUUUUUACAAAGUCCGGAAGUGAAAAAUUUGACUUUUCUACGCCAGAAGUUACAGCUAAUGUUCCUAAGACAAACCAGGCUUUCCUGAGUUCUGAUCUGGACAUUUCAGUUAUUGACUCUGACGUAGAAGGUAGAAAUACAAGCUCUCUUUUGGGGGGUAAAUAUGUA